AUGCAGAAGCUACAAGCAGCGCAUCCCCAUGACAGCUUCAGAUGCAUGAAUGGAUACUCCCAUAAGAGUUGGCACCUUGUCACACAUCGUAAGCACUACAAAAUUGUGAAGGAGGUCAGCCGCCACAACACUUCAUUUGCCUGCUUGUUGCCUGCAAAAGACGAUAGCUUAAGAAAAGUGAUCACAAAGGUUGUUGACAAGAUACAUAUUAAAAUGGAUGACUUUCUUGAAGAUGGGUCACAAGAAGCUACUAUUUUGGUCAUUCAAGCACUUGCAAUAGCUGUGCCGCAUUCAACAGAUAGACUAUAUAUUUAA
This 315-nucleotide ribosomal RNA is filed under the name Triticum aestivum (bread wheat). Its description in RNAcentral is "partial small subunit ribosomal RNA". Lineage: Eukaryota; Viridiplantae; Streptophyta; Magnoliopsida; Poales; Poaceae. The record is from RNAcentral.